AUAUCAAUAAGCGGAGGAAAAGAAACUAACAAGGAUUCCCCUAGUAACUGCGAGUGAAGCGGGAAAAGCUCAAAUUUAAAAUCUGAUGGUCUUUGGCCGUCCGAGUUGUACUUUAGAGAAGCGUUUUCCGCGCUGGACCGCGCACAAGUCUCCUGGAAUGGAGCGUCAUAGAGGGUGAGAAUCCCGUCUUUGGCACGGAUACCCCAGGGCUUUUGUGAUGCGCUCUCGAAGAGUCGAGUUGUUUGGCAAUGCAGCUCAAAAUGGGUGGUGAACUCCAUCUAAAGCUAAAUAUUGGCGAGAGACCGAUAGCAGAACAAGUACCGUGAGGGAAAGAUGAAAAGCACUUUGGAAAGAGAGUGAAACAGUACGUGAAAUUGUUGAAAGGGAAACGCUUGAAGUCGGUUGCGUCGACCGAGACUCAACCUUGCCUCGGCUUGGUGUACUUCUCGGCUGACGGGUCACCAUCAAUUCCGCCCCUUGGAUAAUGGCGAGGGAAAUGUGACACCUUUGCGGUGUGUUAUAGUCUCUCGUCGCAUCCAAGGGUGGGGAUUGAGGAACACAGCACGCGCCUUUGGGUGUCGGGGCUUUGCCCACGAUACGUCCUUAGGAUGUUGGCGUAAUGGCUUUAAACGA
This 633-nucleotide ribosomal RNA is filed under the name uncultured fungus. Its description in RNAcentral is "eukaryotic LSU rRNA". It matches the Rfam family "Eukaryotic large subunit ribosomal RNA", at positions 40 to 647 of the family's 3401-position model. Lineage: Eukaryota; Fungi. The record is from RNAcentral.